CUACUACCACUACUACAACUACUACUGCUACUACACUACUACUACCACUACUACAACUACUACUGCUACUACACUACUACUACCACCACUACUAUUAGUACUACUGCUACUACUACACUACUACUACCACUACUAUUACUACUACUACCGCUACUACACUACUACUACCACUACUAUUACUACUACUACCGCUACUACACUACUACUACCACUACUGCUACUACACUACUACUACCACUACUAUUACUACUACUGCUACUACACUACUACUACCACUACUAUUACUACUACUACUACUACACUACUACUACCACUACUACAACUACUACUACACUACUACUACCACUACUAUUACUACUACUACGGCUACUACACUACUACUACCACUACUAUUACUACUACUACCGCUACUACACUACUACUACCACUACUAUUACUACUACUACCGCUACUACACUACUACUACCACUACUAUUACUACUACUACUACUACACUACUACUACCACUACUACAACUACUACUACACUACUACUACCACUACUAUUACUACUACUACCGCUACUACACUACUACUACCACUACUAUUACUACUACUACCGCUACUACACUACUACUUCUAUUACCAAUACCACUACUACUACUACUACUACUACUACACUACUACUACCACUACUACAACUACUACUGCUACUACCACCACUACAACUACUACUGCUACUACCACCACUACAACUACUACUACCACCACUACUAUUAGUACUACUGCUACUACUACUACCACUACUAUUACUACUACUACUGCUACUACCACCACUACUAUUAGUACUACUGCUACUACUACUACCACUACUAUUACUACUACUACUGCUACUACCACCACUACUAUUAGUACUACUGCUACUACUACUGCUACUACACUACUACUUCUAUUACCAAUACCACUACAACUACUACUACACUACUACUACCACUACUACAACUACCACCACUACUAUUAGUACUACUGCUACUACUACUACCACUACUAUUACUACUACUACUGCUACUACACUACUACUUCUAUUACCAAUACCACCACUACUACUACUGCUACUACCACCACUACAACUACUACUGCUACUACAACCACUACUAUUAGUACUACUGCUACUACUACUACACUACUAUUAGUACUACUGCUACUACUAUUACUAUUACUAAUACCACUACUACUGCUAUUACACUACUACUGCUACUAAUACCACCACCACCACUACUACUACUGCUACUACACUACUACUACUACUACCACCACUACUAUUACUAUCACUACUGCUACUACACUACUACUACUACUACUACUACUACCACCACUACUAUUACUAUCACUACUGCUACUACACUACUACUGCUACUACUACCGCUACUACCAUUACUAUUACUACUACUACCACCACCACUACUCCUACUACUCCUACUACUACUACCACUACUAUUACUACUGCUACCGCUACUACCACUACUACUACUACCACCACUUCUACUCCUACUACUCCUACUACUACUACCACUACUACUGCUACUACUACCACUACUACUGCUACUACUACCACUACUAUUACUACUGCUACCGCUACUACCACUACUACUGCUACUACCACUACUAUUACUACUGCUACUACUACAACUAUUACUACUGCUACUACUACCACUACUACGACUACCACUACUAUUACUACUGCUACUACCACUACUAUUACUACUGCUGCUGCUACUACUACUACUACCACAGCUACUACUACUAUUACUAAUACCUCUACUACUACUACUGCACUACUACUACUUACUAUUACUACUUCUACCACUACUACGUCUAAUAUUAUAAACUACUACUAUUACUACUACUACCACCACUAUUACUACUAUUACUACUUCUACCACUACUACUACUACCUCUAUUACUACUUCUUCUAUACUACUACUACUACUACUACUACUACUACUACUACCAUUACUCAGUUUAUGGAUUUUAAUUUAAAUAAACGACAAAAUGGUACUCGAAGUUUGCCCCGCCCCAAUUAAUCGAAAAAAAAAAAAAAUCAGCCAACUAAUCGAUUAUGAAAAUAAUGGUUAGUUGCAUCCCUACACUUGAGUAAGAAAUCAUUUGCAAUCCUAUGUACAGAAACAUCGCUUUAUACGCACCUUCCCAUUAAAACUGUAUUUUAUUGUACACGUUGAGUUGUUUCCUGAGAAAAAUUGUGCAAAUUGUGCCGAAUACUGUCAAUGCACUCAAACAGGCCAAAAUGUUGCACAGCGCAGUGGCGAUGCAGCUGCACCGAGAUCAAUUUCAACAUUGCUUACUCAGAAAAGUGUGCAAGAGGAACAAAGGUCUUUCACAUCAGAAGCGCAAGAGGCACGAGCAUGUUAAUGUGCGGGCAUGGCUCUUAUAUCUUAUGUGGAACAUGUAAAGUGUACACGUUAAUGUGAGUGCAUGUGUGUAUAUAUAUAUAUAUAUAUAAAUACAUAUAUAUAGAGCAGUGAAGUCAAUAUUUGUCGUGUUGACCCUUUGCUUUAAAAAACAAUGAGUGCCUGAAAAUUGGCCCGGAAACCAGGAAUCUUCCGUCCAUCUGAGACUCGGACAAAGUUGACCAUCUUAUAAGUUAACUUGUCUGGUUGAGCGUUAAAAUAAAAGAGAUGUCAUUAUUUCCCAGCGUUCUCUGGUCAUGUAUGAACGCAUUGGUCCCCGGCAGGGUUCCAGCAAUGCACUUAACGUGUAAGGGUGUGGAUCUUCCCACAUUUCCGCAACGGUUACUUCGGCGACGUUCCGGAUUUUAUGCAUGAAAAGGGCUUUUUGAAACUAAAUCUAAAUUUCAGAUCUUAUCCGAUUCAACCGGGCCACCGCUCUUUCCAUUAUCUCCCGAAUGGUUCGUAGGAACAGCAUGAAUCACGUUCGUUCCGCCUUUCCGCAAAGCCAUAAUAACACCGCUUCCAAACACUUACCCCACACACUGUGUGCACUUGCGGACUGGUAGUAAUGAAAUCGUCUCUAAAGGUCCACUAGUCAUCAGGUGCUAUUUAUGGGCUGUGCUUAUGGAAAAACAUCCCUCAGUUCCGCAGUUCUACGAAAUCCAUUAGUGUAUUUGAUUACAGUGCGGUCUUGUAUAGUCGUAUGGAUGACAUGCCGGUGCCAUUACUUAAAAUGCAAAAAUGGCCACGAUACUGGGAAAUCAAACCCGAGUGAUUGAGAGCUGAUCACGUCCCAGCAUUACAUCACGUUAGAUCAUCUAGACCGCUUUACGUUCCAUCCACUGAUGGAUUGAGGUGGCUGGCCUCGAAAACGGUCAAUAAACUGAUUGAUGGAUUGUGUCGUUUAUUUCGUCUCUCGACGGGAUUUUACCGUAGACCCAUUUCGCUGGGAGAAGCCGUGGACCCGGAGAUGCUUUUUAUUUAUUUGUUAUUUAUUUAUUUAUUUUAAACGGGACGGUUUCAACACUCUAGGGUCAGUUUUCAAAGGUGUUUUGGAGAAGUGUUGUACACAGACACGGUCCUCGAGCAGAGGGAGAUUAUCACAGCAGACGCUUAGCGUCAAGCGCGUAUAGGAUAACGAAGAAGGGCGAAUGAUGGCCGACGCGGAGACCCACACAUACACAUCCGUCUGCUCGCUCUUUGAUCUGUCGUUUUGUUUUCAUGACCAUAUGAGUCAUGGUUUUAUAUAGAAUCCCAGAUCACCACGUCUGAGAGAUACAGCUUGUCCAAGUCGGAGAGCUACGGUGGCUUGUUUUCUGUAGUUGAGAAUGUUCUUUUUUUAAAGAAAAAAAUGUUCUUUUUUUUAAAAAAAAAUAAAUAAAUAAUAGAUAUAAAUAGAUAAAAUUGUGGAAUUGGUUUAUUUGGAGGAAAUGGCGUUUGUGGGUUAACACAGUUCUGUGUCAUCGCUCUCAGGCAUUGUCGUGUGUACUUUAGAGAAGUGCAUGUUUGUGUGCUCUGGCAACCUCGCCAGAUGGUGCUGGGAGUGUGAGGGCUGUGAGGGCACCCACUCCCAGAGGAGAGGUUGGUGUGUGUGUGUGUGUGUGUGUGAAAGGAGAGGAGGGGUUUUAGAAAGGCAUGUAGGCUCAUUUAGGUCAGAGUACAGCAUGUUGUCAAAUCCGGCAUAGGCAGGCUGAUCGUCAGAAGUGUGUGUGUGUGUGUGUGUAUUAUUUUGCUAUGUUUUCUAUACAAAAUGUAUAGGAAUAUCAGACAGUUUUGGUCUUGUGGAAACAUUUAUCACGAGGAAAAACUCACUUUUAUUUGAAAAACUACGGUUACUAAGGUUAAGGUAGGGGUUACAUUUAGUUGUAGCAUAGCAUAAAUAAACCCCAUUAACAAUUCAACCAAUGGAAGGUCCUCGCAAGGGUAGUCAGACGUGUACGUGUGUGUGUUUGCGUGGAUGAAUAUCUCAGAACAGAUUCUGUCAGGCUUUAACGGUUUGCUCCGGUCAACGGCGUUAAGUCACAUCAGAUAACCGGUAAAGGUUCAAGACGUCUGAUUAUUACUUUAGAUCUGCUCUCCUGCCUGCCUGCUCUUUCAUCUGGCAACCACAUCAGCUCAGUGAAGUGCUCCAGAGCUUUCUCCAGCACUCAUUCACGUGGAAGUAGUACACACACACCAUGAUAAUUACCAGUCAUGACCGCUCAGCGUCAUGUGUUUUUCUCCCCAAAGCAUGUCCCUCUGUGUUUACUCAGCCAUGUGUGUGGUUUCUGUAACUCAGCCCCGUGUGUAACGUCUCUCAUCGACACGUCGGCGAGUUUUCACUUCGGUUAAUGUUUUCCUACACUACCCACUACGCCAUCCGACCGCCUGCUGAUCGUGGCGCCACCGGGAACAUCUCCUCAUCUCUGUUUAACGAGAGCGGUUGCAGCGGCGCUUUAGUCCUUUCGUAUGUCCAGGUCUCUCUCGCCUCCGCAUCCAAACAGAACUUCGCGGCCGUCGUCCUGUAGAUCUCCGACUAGCCGGGCGGAUUCUCCGCCGUAACUCGGCGAAGCGACAUCGUAUAACCGCGCUGCAUUCUGGGACUCCGAGUCCAGCGUUUGCUUCGCCGUGUUGGAUUUCUUAUUAAUAUUGUGAGUGGGGAAAAUAUCUCUUUUGUUUUCCCAAAUAUUGAGUAUAUUUAUGCAUUGCCUUUCCAUGACCGAUAUUCUGUAAAUGGUGCAGGGGCCAAAGGUCAUUAGGUAACCUGAUGCAGGACGUGCAUGCACCUGUCCAUCGUGACUCCAUGGAUCGUAAAUAAAUUAUUUUAUCAUUCAGGUUGGCGAGUCUCGUGAACUUUGCUCUAAGGCGUUCAGUGUUUUCGGGAAUUUAUGACAGACUUCAAAUAUUUCCCUUUUUUUUUUUUUCUUUUUUUUUUUCCGGUUGUCUAUUUAAAGUAACAUCCAGUGACACGCAAUCACGACAAAACAAACAACCAAAGUGCAGAACGCAUCAGAGGAAGAACAGGGUAUCCGUUAUUCAUUUUUGCUCGUGUUGUACGCUCGCUAUCCAACCAUUUUUUUGCCUUUAUUUUCGUGGCACUCGUCGGUGGAAAUUAUUAGGAGCAAAAUGUCCGUGUGCAGUGAACACGUCGAGAGUGAAGGUGCUGCAGCUGUGUGUCUGAUCUGAUCACGCGAGCCUCGUUCGCAGGAGGAAGAUCUCCUAAUAUUUCUCGAUUUCGUGAACGUAACUGAAUUUGAAUGCGGCCAUCUAGACUGUCUGCCUCACAAAAUGCCUUGAAGCAUCAUCUGUGUGUGUGUGUGCGCGUGUGUGUGUGCGUGACAUAAACACAUACACGAUGGACUUGACUGUUAUAUGAAUAGAUACAGGUAUAACUUAUGAAUGAGAGAGACAGAGAGUGAGUGAGAGAGAGAUACUGAGAGAGAUAGUGUGAGAGCGAGAGAGUGAGAGAGAUAGUGAGUGUGUGUGUGAGAGAGAUAGUGAGUGUGAGAGAGAUAGUGAGAGAGAUAGUGAGAAGAGAUAGUGAGUGUGAGAGAGAGAUAGUGAGUGUGAGAGAGAUAGUGAGAGAGAUAGUGAGUGUGAGAGAGAGAUAGUGAGAGAGAGAUAGUGUGAGAGAGAUAGUGAGUGUGAGAGAGAUAGUGAGAGAGAUAGUGAGUGUGAGAGAGAUAGUGAGAGAGAUAGUGAGUGUGAGAGAGAGAUAGUGAGAGAGAUAGUGAGUGUGAGAGAGAUAGUGAGAGAGAUAGUGAGUGUGAGAGAGAGAUUGAGUGUGAGAGAGAUAGUGAGAGAGGAUAGUGAGUGUGAGAGAGAGAUAGUGAGAGAGAGAUAGUGAGUGUGAGAGAGAGAUAGAGUAGUGAGAGAGAGAGAUAGUGAGUGUGAGAGAGAGAUAGUGAGUGUGAGAGAGAUAGUGAGAGAGAGAGAUAGUGUGAGAGAGAGAGAUAGUGAGUGUGAGAGAGAGAUAGUGAGAGAGAGAGAGAUAGUGAGUGUGAGAGAGAGAUAGUGAGUGUGAGAGAGAGAGAUAGUGAGAGAGAGAGAGAUAGUGAGAGAGAGAGAGAUAGUGAGAGUGAGAGAUAGUGAGUGUGAGAGAGAGAGAUAGUGAGAGUGAGAGAGAGAUAGUGAGUGUGAGAGAGAGAGAUAGUGAGUGUGAGAGAGAGAUAGUGAGUGUGAGAGAGAGAUAGUGAGAGAGAGAGAUAGUGAGUGUGAGAGAGAGAGAUAGUGAGUGAGAGAGAGAUAGUGAGUGUGAGAGAGAGAUAGUGAGAGAGAGAGAUAGUGAGUGUGAGAGAUAGUGAGUGAGAGAGAGAGAUAGUGAGUGUGAGAGAGAGAUAGUGAGAGAGAGAGAUAGUGAGUGUGAGAGAGAGAUAGUGAGUGAG
Ictalurus punctatus (channel catfish) is the source of this 6810-nucleotide long non-coding RNA. Lineage: Eukaryota; Metazoa; Chordata; Actinopteri; Siluriformes; Ictaluridae. The record is from Ensembl.